CAGUCGCCGCGGGAACACGAAGGGUGCAAGCGUUAAUCGGAAUUACUGGGCGUAAAGCGCGCGUAGGUGGUUUGGUAAGAUGGAUGUGAAAUCCCCGGGCUCAACCUGGGAACUGCAUCCAUAACUGCCUGACUAGAGUACGGUAGAGGGUGGUGGAAUUUCCUGUGUAGCGGUGAAAUGCGUAGAUAUAGGAAGGAACACCAGUGGCGAAGGCGACCACCUGGACUGAUACUGACACUGAGGUGCGAAAGCGUGGGGAGCAAACAGGAUUAGAUACCCCUGUAGUCCCUGUCUCUUAUAA
Molecule: ribosomal RNA, 301 nt
Filed under: uncultured bacterium
Lineage: Bacteria
Description: partial 16S ribosomal RNA
Rfam family: Bacterial small subunit ribosomal RNA
Source: RNAcentral